CGUAGGUGGCAAGCGUUGUCCGGAUUUAUUGGGCGUAAAGCGAGUGCAGGCGGCUCGAUAAGUCUGAUGUGAAAGCCUUCGGCUCAACCGGAGAAUUGCAUCAGAAACUGUCGAGCUUGAGUACAGAAGAGGAGAGUGGAACUCCAUGUGUAGCGGUGAAAUGCGUAGAUAUAUGGAAGAACACCGGUGGCGAAGGCGGCUCUCUGGUCUGUUACUGACGCUGAGGCUCGAAAGCAUGGGUAGCGAACAGGAUU
Molecule: ribosomal RNA, 254 nt
Filed under: uncultured bacterium
Lineage: Bacteria
Description: partial 16S ribosomal RNA
Rfam family: Bacterial small subunit ribosomal RNA
Source: RNAcentral